AGUGAACGCUGGCGGUAGGCCUAACACAUGCAAGUCGAACGGCAGCACAGGAGAGCUUGCUCUCUGGGUGGCGAGUGGCGGACGGGUGAGGAAUACAUCGGAAUCUGCCCAGUCGUGGGGGAUAACGUAGGGAAACUUACGCUAAUACCGCAUACGACCUUCGGGUGAAAGGGGGGGAUCGCAAGACCUCUCGCGAUUGGAUGAGCCGAUGUCGGAUUAGCUAGUUGGCGGGGUAAUGGCCCACCAAGGCGACGAUCCGUAGCUGGUCUGAGAGGAUGAUCAGCCACACUGGAACUGAGACACGGUCCAGACUCCUACGGGAGGCAGCAGUGGGGAAUAUUGGACAAUGGGCGCAAGCCUGAUCCAGCCAUACCGCGUGGGUGAAGAAGGCCUUCGGGUUGUAAAGCCCCUUUGUUGGGAAAGAAAUCUUUCAGGCUAAUACCCUGGGAGGAUGACGGUACCCAAAGAAUAAGCACCGGCUAACUUCGUG
RNAcentral lists this ribosomal RNA (490 nucleotides) under uncultured bacterium. RNAcentral describes it as "partial 16S ribosomal RNA". It matches the Rfam family "Bacterial small subunit ribosomal RNA", at positions 29 to 507 of the family's 1533-position model. The record is from RNAcentral.